CNGNNNGGGNNNAUAACGCGUGAGAAUCUGCAUUCAGGUCGGGGACAACCACUGGAAACGGUGGCUAAUACCGGAUGUGCCGAGAGGUGAAAGGCUUGCUGCCUGAAGAUGAGCUCGCGACUGAUUAGCUAGUUGGUAGUGUAAGGGACUACCAAGGCGACGAUCAGUAGCUGGUCUGAGAGGAUGAUCAGCCACACUGGGACUGAGACACGGCCCAGACUCCUACGGGAGGCAGCAGUGGGGAAUUUUCCGCAAUGGGCGAAAGCCUGACGGAGCAAUACCGCGUGAGGGAGGAAGGCUCUUGGGUUGUAAACCUCUUUUCUCAAGGAAUAAGUUUUGAAGGUACUUGAGGAAUAAGCAUCGGCUAACUCCGUGCCAGCAGCCGCGGUAAUACGGAGGAUGCAAGCGUUAUCCGGAAUGAUUGGGCGUAAAGAGUCCGUAGGUGGUUGUGAAAGUCUGCUGUUAAAGAGCAAGGCUCAACCUUGUAAAGGCAGUGGAAACUACACAGCUAGAGUGCGUUCGGGGCAGAAGGAAUUCCUGGUGUAGCGGUGAAAUGCGUAGAGAUCAGGAAGAACACCGGUGGCGAAAGCGUUCUGCUAGGCCGUGACUGACACUGAGGACGAAGC
Molecule: ribosomal RNA, 626 nt
Filed under: bacterium
Lineage: Bacteria
Description: bacterial SSU rRNA
Rfam family: Bacterial small subunit ribosomal RNA
Source: RNAcentral